GAAGAAGCACCGGCUAACUCCGUGCCAGCAGCCGCGGUAAUACGGAGGGUGCAAGCGUUAAUCGGAAUUACUGGGCGUAAAGCGCACGCAGGCGGUCUGUCAAGUCGGAUGUGAAAUCCCCGGGCUCAACCUGGGAACUGCAUUCGAAACUGGCAGGCUUGAGUCUUGUAGAGGGGGGUAGAAUUCCAGGUGUAGCGGUGAAAUGCGUAGAGAUCUGGAGGAAUACCGGUGGCGAAGGCGGCCCCCUGGACAAA
Molecule: ribosomal RNA, 254 nt
Filed under: Salmonella enterica subsp. enterica serovar Dublin
Lineage: Bacteria; Pseudomonadati; Pseudomonadota; Gammaproteobacteria; Enterobacterales; Enterobacteriaceae
Description: partial 16S ribosomal RNA
Rfam family: Bacterial small subunit ribosomal RNA
Source: RNAcentral